CAGAUUGGUAGCUGGAAACUGGCCAUGAUGGGACGAUUUACAUUCAGGACACUGUGGAAAAAGUUAAAAGAAAUCAGGGCUUCCCCUGCCCCGCUCGCCAAACCCUACCCCCACCCCCCAGCCCCAGAGAGUUGAAUCUUAAACAUCAGCACACUGCUGGAUCCAUCUAGCUCAGAACCCUGGUAUUGGAGUUUCUUUGCUCUCACAGGAAGUCUUCUUGGGUAAGAUUUAAUCAGCUCUAGUCCAGCUCUCUCUUCUGUCUAUAGGCAAUCCUUAUCGUAUUUUUGCCCCUUCCAAACUGAAAGGAUUUCAGGCAGAUGACAAGGUAGCAGUCAGAAUGAAUUUCUCCAAAGACUCUUCAUCACAGCUUCUCCCCUCUUCACACUUUGACUCCUCUUUAUAGCCUUCAUCUUGCUGAGAGGGUGCAAAAAGCAUAGAACCAGUUCAACUAAUCAUUUCCUUUGUACACUCAAUCUGCGGAGGCUGUCCCAGAUUCAUUUAGGUAUUUUAUGCAUCUGAGUUCCAUUUAAAUUUCUCUUCUUCAUUCAUGUGUCACCAUUCUGUGCCGAGUUAUCAUUCUGCUGCUGCUGCUGCUGCUGCUGUGAAGUCACUUCAGUCGUGUCCGACUCUGUGGGACCCCAUAGACAGAAGCUCACCAGGCUCCGCCGUCCCUGGGAUUCUCCAGGCAAGAACACUGGAAUGGAGAAAUAACAGCAUGUCCGUAUGCUCGUGGUAAUGACCCAAUAGAAAAAGUAGAACUGAUGAUGUAAGAGAAUGAAGAGGAUUGCUAGAGAAAAAUCUCUGGCUCAGUAAGAGUGAGGCCUUGACUGCACAACUCAAGUGCACAGAUUGCACUGAGGACUGGAGCAGUCCCAACAGCUUCCAGCAGAGGGCAGUGUCGGAGCGGAUCUGCGUCUCUCUACGGGGCCCUCAGGGGUUCGCUGCCUCACCAAUAGGAAUCUUUAAAUUGCUCUGAAAUUAGCAAGGGCUUCCCUGGUCAAAUUCCAGUGAGGGGAGAGUCUGUCCAGUCAGAGGAAAGACCGGGAACAAAGCCUGUUGCAGAGUGUGCUGCCCAGUGGGAAAGAAAACAGGGCCAAGGAGAAAGUAUCCUUGUGGAGUCUGUGUGUUAUGACUGCACAGGCGGAGAGAACUGAUCAAAGUAAGCCAGGAGCACAGAGGGUUUUCUCCAAGGCAAGCGUCGAUGUCUGCUUAAGUCUGGUCCACACACUUGAGAUGAAAGCUCGAGUUUCACAGAGGAAAUGUUAUUUACUGGGCAAAACAACAGGCAGGAUGGAAACAUGCAGUCCCCAAACUUAUUCUUUCGAUUUCAUCAAUCAUUCAAGCCAUGUCUCCUUUUGGGGAAAAAGAAAGUCCACGUGCCAGAGACACAGCUGCCUUUAGAGAGGAAACCCAGGAAACAACAGACAGUGCUGCUGGGUAGUUCCCCCUUCCUCUCACCCCAGGCCCAUCUGGGCCAGCAAGUCUGGCUUCCAUUGUUCCUUUGUUUAAUACUAUCCGUGUGGGAUUAACAAUAUCAUUAUGAAACCAGAGGAGCACUGACAGUGAAAUCCACAGAUCUGCAUAAACAUAUUGGUCCACAGACAACUGGAAUCUGAGUCAGUCUCUCAGCUCCCGUGCUAAGCUCUCUUAGCUUGUCCCUCUUCAUUCACCUCCACCAUUUCCUGCCCUGCUUUGUGCUGAGGAAGCUGCCUAGGUGAAGCAAAGCCACAUGCUUCCCUGACAAUCAGUUUCUAGUUUGGAUGGACCACUGAGAAGUGCCUGUAAGAAGGGAGGACUGAGUAUUUCUUCCCCAGGCUCCCUCCCUGCCUGCAGUUAGCAGAGUCUUCAUUCCUCUGCAGCUUCUGAGUCAUCCUAUAGUUACAGAAAUAAAUAACCACUCUCUCUUCUUCCCUUUUUAUGACGUGGGAAGUUAGAGAUUUCUGGAGAGCGUGGCUACUUCACUGCCUUUAAUCCCUCUUACACCC
This is a long non-coding RNA of Bos taurus (domestic cattle), 1985 nucleotides long. Lineage: Eukaryota; Metazoa; Chordata; Mammalia; Artiodactyla; Bovidae. The record is from Ensembl.